UGGGGAAUUUUGGACAAUGGGCGAAAGCCUGAUCCAGCAAUGCCGCGUGUGUGAAGAAGGCCUUCGGGUUGUAAAGCACUUUUGUCCGGAAAGAAAUCCUUGGCUCUAAUACAGUCGGGGGAUGACGGUACCGGAAGAAUAAGCACCGGCUAACUACGUGCCAGCAGCCGCGGUAAUACGUAGGGUGCAAGCGUUAAUCGGAAUUACUGGGCGUAAAGCGUGCGCAGGCGGUUUGCUAAGACCGAUGUGAAAUCCCCGGGCUCAACCUGGGAACUGCAUUGGUGACUGGCAGGCUAGAGUAUGGCAGAGGGGGGUAGAAUUCCACGUGUAGCAGUGAAANNGCGUAGAGAUGUGGAGGAAUACCGAUGGCGAAGGCAGCCCCCCUGGGCCAAUACUGACGCUCAUGCACGAAAAGCGUGGGGGAGCAAACAGGAUUAGAUACCCUGGUAGUCCACGCCCUAAACGAUGUCAACUAGUUGUUGGGGAUUCAUUUCCUAGUAACGUAGCUAACGCGUGAAGUUGACCGCCUGGGGAGUACGGUCGCAAGAUUAAAACUCAAAUGAAUUGACGGGGUCC
RNAcentral lists this ribosomal RNA (576 nucleotides) under uncultured bacterium. RNAcentral's name for it is "partial 16S ribosomal RNA". It matches the Rfam family "Bacterial small subunit ribosomal RNA", at positions 355 to 921 of the family's 1533-position model. The record is from RNAcentral.